UGUUUGCAGGUCAGCAAUGUUAAAGAUCUUUCUCAGUAAAAACUCAAUCAUCAUCCUUCCCUUUUGAGCAGUUUUUUGGCAUCUGCUCUAAUUAUUGUUCACAGGUCAGCAAUGUGAUCACCUUAUAUUUGUAGAACUUUUUUCAGAAAAAAAAAAAAAGAUCAAUUAUCCAUUCCCUUUCAAACAGUUUCUUGGCAGACUACACGAG
Molecule: long non-coding RNA, 208 nt
Filed under: Mytilus galloprovincialis (Mediterranean mussel)
Lineage: Eukaryota; Metazoa; Mollusca; Bivalvia; Mytilida; Mytilidae
Source: RNAcentral